RNAcentral lists this long non-coding RNA (1269 nucleotides) under Scophthalmus maximus (turbot). Its description in RNAcentral is "lncRNA (ENSSMAG00000024221.1)". Lineage: Eukaryota; Metazoa; Chordata; Actinopteri; Pleuronectiformes; Scophthalmidae. The record is from RNAcentral.
UUGUGUGUGUGUGUGUGUGUGUGUGUGUGUGUGUGUGUUUGCUGUUACAUCACUGCUGUAUCUGCCUGCUGUUUCUGUACACCUGCAUGUUGCUGCUUUCUUAACACUGGCCUGACACACACACACACACACACAUACACACACACAUACAAAAGAAGCUCUCUCUCCGUCGGCUGUUUGUCUCUUUGUAAUGACAAUAAUCUCAACCAAAAAAUGGAGCACACACACACACACACACACACACACACACCUGAACACCUGAUUCUACGAGACCUUCCUGCCUCGCCUUUUUUUUUUCAUGCUGAGUAAACAUCGACGUCCAAAAGCUUCAAAGGUGUUUGCUGCAUUUCGGUUUCAUCUUUUGUGAUUUUUGAAGAGACAGGUUUCACUCUCAUGGCUAGUUCUUUUCGGGGGGCACAAAGAGAGAGAAAAAGGAGAACAGGACUUUCUCUCACUGCCAUCAGAUCCCGCCCGCAUGAGUCACCGUUCGUGUUCGCCUCUUCUUGUUGACUCCCUCAGAUCAAAGGUUGCUCUGGCUGUCAUCCCCUCACCCCCUUCAAUUCCGCAUGCCAGCUCCUCUCCCAGGAAACCGUCCAACCAAAAGUCCUUCAUGAGACGUCCGUGCUCCGUGCUCCAGUCCUCCUCUCGGGCCAGUGUCUUGGCUCCGGGGGGGGGCGGAGUCUCCCUCGCGAUCUGAAGCACCUAGUUCAGAGGACCGCUCUCUCAAAGUUUGACUUCUGAAUUAGUUCCCAAUCCGUCAAACCCCUUCCUGUCUUCACGUCUCCUGAAGCCCUCAUAAGCUUCUUUUCAGCCUGGAACUCUUUUCCCGAGUUUGACGACCGCAGCCGGAGAUUGACUCGUUCACACCAAACGGGAGGAUUUUUCCGGAGCCGUGUCCGUGGCGGGGCAGGCCGGAGGCGGGGCCUGACGACACGGCGCUCGCUGUGCGCUCUUCAGAGAUUUUUCCUGGACAUUCCCCUGGACAUUGUUACCGGCAGGAAACGUUUUCGGACCGUCCACGGAGCGAAACGAUUGCCUCCUCACGAGUCUCCGAGAGGUUCAGGAGAAUGUCGGAACUUCGGCGUGCUGUGUGAAAGCAACUUCAUACGUUUCCAAUCCAUCACACCCUCAGUCACCCUCAUUUAAAAUCGUCCUGGUCUUUACAUUUCGUCGUUCUUUUAUCAGCGUUCACGGUUGUCCUGCAUCAGGCUUUUUGUUUGGUUUUUUACAUUUACUUUCAACGUGGACCUGGGUCUGGAACAACCUGCC